This 437-nucleotide ribosomal RNA is filed under the name uncultured bacterium. RNAcentral describes it as "bacterial SSU rRNA". It matches the Rfam family "Bacterial small subunit ribosomal RNA", at positions 917 to 1344 of the family's 1533-position model. The record is from RNAcentral.
GGGAUCACACAAGCGGUGGAGCAUGUUGUUUAAUUCGAAGCAACGCGAAGAACCUUACCAGGCCUUGACAUGUACGGAUUAGCUCCCUGAAAGGGGAGUGACAGCUCUUCGGAGUCGGAACGUACACAGGUGUUGCAUGGCUGUCGUCAGCUCGUGCCGUGAGGUGUUGGGUUAAGUCCCGUAACGAGCGAAACCCUUAUCGUUAGUUGCCAGCGGGUAAUGCCGGGGACUCUAGCGAGACUGCCGUUGUCAAAACGGAGGAAGGUGGGGACGACGUCAAGUCAUCAUGGCCCUUAUGGCCUGGGCUACAAACGUGCUACAAUGGUCCGUACAAUGGGUACCCAAGUCGCGAGACGGAGGCAAUCCCAUCAAAGCGGGCCCCAGUUCGGAUUGCAGGCUGCAAUUCGCCUGCAUGAAGCCGGAAUCGCUAGUAAUCG